RNAcentral lists this ribosomal RNA (450 nucleotides) under uncultured bacterium. RNAcentral describes it as "partial 16S ribosomal RNA". It matches the Rfam family "Bacterial small subunit ribosomal RNA", at positions 354 to 796 of the family's 1533-position model. The record is from RNAcentral.
GUGGGGAAUAUUGGACAAUGGGCGAAAGCCUGAUCCAGCAAUGCCGCGUGCAGGAAGAAGGCCUUCGGGUUGUAAACUGCUUUUGUACGGAACGAAACGGUCCGGGUUAAUACCCUGGGCUAAUGACGGUACCGUAAGAAUAAGCACCGGCUAACUACGUGCCAGCAGCCGCGGUAAUACGUAGGGUGCAAGCGUUAAUCGGAAUUACUGGGCGUAAAGCGUGCGCAGGCGGUUUUGUAAGACAGGCGUGAAAUCCCCGGGCUCAACCUGGGAAUUGCGCUUGUGACUGCAAGGCUGGAGUGCGGCAGAGGGGGAUGGAAUUCCGCGUGUAGCAGUGAAAUGCGUAGAUAUGCGGAGGAACACCGAUGGCGAAGGCAAUCCCCUGGGCCUGCACUGACGCUCAUGCACGAAAGCGUGGGGAGCAAACAGGAUUAGAAACCCCAGUAGUCC